Ictalurus punctatus (channel catfish) is the source of this 1276-nucleotide long non-coding RNA. The record is from Ensembl. Lineage: Eukaryota; Metazoa; Chordata; Actinopteri; Siluriformes; Ictaluridae.
GAUCAAGUCAGUAAAUGAAAACAGUCAAGAGAGGAAAGUGUUGGUGGCUGAUUCAUAAUGAUAAUGAUAACGAGUCUUUAUUGGUCAUAGCACAGUGAAAUUCUUUUCUUCGCAGAGUCUUACCCGCCAAGCCACCACUGGCCCAUGGUCAUGAGGUGAAGAGUAAAAGUAUUCAGGAUGUGCAAGGGGGGUUAAAAUGCUGAAAGCCACAGAGGCAGGAGAGAUCUAGUGGAGGCUGAUGACAGGAGGGGCAAGGGAAAGUGAAUGAUACAAGCUGAUUAACUGAAAGAUGGAGCAGACUGCUUCUCAUGAAGGGUUUUGCGGAUGCUGCAUAUUAAGCACAAUAAGGAUACUAGUUGUGGUGCUAACCCAGCCACUGGCUCAGUGCGUGCACGGGACCAGUGCCGGUCCCGAGCCUGGAUAAAUGGGGAGGGUUGAGUCAGGAAGGGCAUCUCCAUAAAAAACCCUAGACAAAACAUGCGAAUCAACCUUAAAAACUCCAUACCGGAUCGUUCGAGGCCCGGGAUAACAACGUCCGACAUCGGCACUGUUGCCCAACAGGGUGCCGAGGGAAAAUGUGCUACUGCUGGACAAAGAAAAAGAGGAAGGAAACGCAUCAAGCUGGAGCGCAAACGCUAUAGGACCCACUACGCGGAACUGAAGGUCGGGUGCCUCAACGUUGGCACAAUGACAGGCAAGGGGAGAGAAUUGGCCGACAUGGUAGAGAAGCACAAAAUUGACAUUCUCUGAGUACAAGAGACUAAGUGGAAAGGCAGGCUUCCCACAUGAAGAGGUUUGGCACGCCUUGCACCAGUCAGGUGUGCCAGCCAAAUAUGUCAGAGCAGUUAAAGACAUGUAUGUUGACAGUAAGACCAAAGUCAAAAACGCUGUGGGAACCACAGACAGCUUUGACGUUAAGGUUGAACUCCACCAGGGGUCAGCCUUAAGUCCAUUUCUAUUUAAAUCACCCUCAUGGACAGGCUGACAGAUGGACUCCGGCAAGAACCACCAUGGACGAUGAUGUAUGCCGAUGACAUCGUACAAUGCACGGAGAGCAAACACCAAGCUGAAACAGCACUGGAAAGCUGGAGAGCCGCGCUCGAGAAGGGGGGACUGAAAAUUAAUAGCAGGAAGACCAAAUACAUGUGCAUUGGUGAUCCUGAAACCAUGACUCAUUGAAGUUCAAUGAUGGAGAAGAAAUUGAACAAGCAGAUAACUUCUGCUACCUCGGAUCCACUGUGGAGAAAAAUGGAGUGACCCGACAAGAGGAUUCAAG